This 531-nucleotide ribosomal RNA is filed under the name Blastocystis hominis. Its description in RNAcentral is "SSU rRNA". It matches the Rfam family "Eukaryotic small subunit ribosomal RNA", at positions 55 to 607 of the family's 1831-position model. The record is from RNAcentral. Lineage: Eukaryota; Bigyra; Opalinata; Blastocystidae.
AUGUGUAGUGUAAAUAUCAAAGUUUGGAACUGCGAAUGGCUCAUUAUAUCAGUUAUAGUUUAUUUGGUGAAGUGUACUACUUGGAUAACCGUAGUAAUUCUAGGGCUAAUACAUGAGAAAGUCCUCUGGUGAGGUGUGUUUAUUAGAAUGAAAACCAUAUGCUUCGGCAUGAUAGUGAGUAAUAGUAACCUAUCGUAUCGCAUGCUUAAUGUAGCGAUGAGUCUUUCAAGUUUCUGCCCUAUCAGCUUUCGAUGGUAGUAUAUGGGCCUACCAUGGCAGUAACGGGUAACGAAGAAUUUGGGUUCGAUUUCGGAGAGGGAGCCUGAGAGAUGGCUACCACAUCCAAGGAAGGCAGCAGGCGCGUGAAUCACCCAAUCCUGACACAGGGAGGUAGUGACAAUAAAUCACAAUGCGGGACUAUCAGUCUUGCAAUUGGAUUGAGAACAAUGUACAACUCUUAUCGAUAAGCCAUUGGAGGGCAAGUCUGGUGCCAGCAGCCGCGGUAAUUCCAGCUCCAAUAGCGUAUAUAAA